Homo sapiens (human) is the source of this 5378-nucleotide long non-coding RNA. RefSeq annotates it as WDR7 overlapping transcript 1. The transcript has 3 exons. The record is from RefSeq and is a predicted model, not a curated record. NCBI's taxonomy places the organism in Eukaryota, Metazoa, Chordata, Mammalia, Primates, Hominidae.
CAUAUUUAUGGCAUUACAGCUUCUCGGAACCAGGCAUCCAGCCUAGGCUUAGCCAGGAGCCUUGGCCUCAAGAUCUCUCACAGGCUGCAAUCAAGGUGCUGGCUGGGUCUAUGGUCCCAUCUGAGGCUUGUGAGGGAGAGAAUUUGCUUCAAAGUUCAUGUCAUUGUUGGCAGAAUUCAAUUUCUUCUGCUUGUAGGACUGGGGGCCUCACUUUCUCGCUGGCUGUCACUGGAGGCCCUUGCAGGCUGUUGGCUGGAGCCUAGAGGCUUCCUGCAGCUCUCUGCCACUUGGAGUUUCCCAACACAGUCACACUGCAGCGGUGGUGGCAUUAUGGCUGAAUCUUGAAAGAUGAAUAGGAGUUUCCCAGGGUGGAAGAACAUUCAGACAAAGGGGAGACGUGACUGAAGGCAUGGAACUGUGAAGGCAGGUGAUGUUUUCAGGGAGCAGCAGAUGUAGCCAGUCCCUUACCCAGAGCCAUGUUCCCCUUUAUUCCAUGCUUCUAAGCCUGGGCUUGGCUCUGUUCUUUGCACCAAUGACCAUGUGCUCAGGCUGGAGUUUAUCAGCCUUGGAAAUGGAAGCUUGAUUAAUUCAAGCCAGCAAGCUCAUGCAGUGCCUAGUGGUAUAAGUAAGGCCUUCAGUGCCAUUCUGGCCCAUGAGGUGGGAGGGGGGUGCUCUUGGGAAAGGUUUUCCUCCCCAGUGAAAAGAGACAUUCACGUAGAAGUUUCUAUCUGUGGACAUAGCUGUGUGAAUCUGUGAUACCUGGGAACCCACAAGCCAUUUUGGGCCUAUGUUGGAACCCACCUUGGCUCAAGCCAACUUACUGGGGUAAAUCCUCAGUGACAUCACUGGGCUUCUAGAGGAGCCAGCCCUGCAGACACCCACCUCUUUCUCCUGUCAUAUGAUAUAAUCAUCUUCCCCACUGGCUGAGCCCCUUGCAGCCAACCCUUGAAAACAGACUGUACAGUGUACAGUGACAUGGCAUGAAGUGAUUCAAACUCAUGAGCUGAAGCCAGCAUGAAGAUCUUUGUAGCCAGUGACACGGAGCUAGGCUGUUUCCUGAGAGGUCUGGAGAGUUCUCAAUGAUUUUCAGGGCAACAAUGAUCCCAUAUCUUGGCUAAACCUGGUGGCAGGAUGCAUCAUAGUUUAGAAAAUGGAGAUCGUUGUGACAGGGAGGCCAGGGAUGGCUGCACAUCUAGAGAUUCUGAGAACUCAAACUAUUGCAGGUGUGAUGGACACCAAAAGGAAGGGCCAAGGGACAUGUAAGAGGCAGGAGUUAGAGGAGUUGGUGAGUGAAAUGUCAGGAAGGAGGCAGAAGCCCAGGGUUCCCCAGUGCGAGAGAUGGGGGACCAAUGGCAUUUGCCAGUCCAGAAUACUCACAUUCUUGGAAAACAUCAUCCAUGUUCACACCUUGAUUCCUUCACUGCUACUGUUCCCUUCGCAGGUAGGAUCCUUCCACAGAAAAUUCCCAUUCACAUAAUCCCACAUUAUAGCAUUGCUGCCGUGGGGAAGUCAGAUUCCAUUUACACUAUUCAGACUUGCAGUCCCUCAGUCAGGAACACCAGCUCCAGGAGUGAGACGCACCUCUACGAACUGUAUUUACGUUAACCCUCAGAACACCAUCCCACAUGACAAGCCACAGGGAAAAAGGAAUCGGAUCCAGGGAAAACGCUGUACCACUGGGGCCCGGGUGCCUUAAGUGGUUUUCUGAUCAACUCCAUAGAAUCAGAAUGUCAGGACUACAAGUCAUCCGUGUCCCUGCAAAGGACAUCUCAUCUUCAUUGAUCAUCCAUGGUGCUGAGCAUUUAAGAGGCACCAGGGAUGUAACUUUGAAUCAGAAGAGACCUGGUUCCUGCCCUUGUGGAGCUUACAUUCCCGUGGGUCCUCAGUCUUCCUUUGUCUUUCAUGACCUUGACACUUUUGAAGAGUACAGGUUAGUUAUUUUGCAGACAGUCCCAAUUCAGGAUUGCCUGAUGUUUCUUCAUGAUUAGAUUCAGAUUGUGCUUUUUUUUUUGCCAGGAGACCACAGCAGUGACAUUGUGUCCUUCUCAGUGCAGUGUAUCAAGAGGAACAUGAUGGUCAUUCCUGGCAAUGUCCACUUUUAUCACAUGAUUAAGGUAGUAUCUGUCAGUUUUCUCAACUAUAAAAUAUGUAAACUAUGAUUUUUUUCCUUUAUAAUUAAUAUGUGUCUUAUGAGGAAAUGCUUUGAGAUUAUGCAGAGACACUGUUCCCCAUCAUACAUUUUUGCAGUAAUUUUGGCAGCCAUUGAUGAUUCCUGCCAGUAAUAAUCAUAGUGGUGGUUGUUAUGCAAAUGGUGAAGCCGUUUUAAUUAUUGCUUUUCUUACUUUUAAGGUCUGGGGCAGGGAUGGCAAGUUCCAACCACUUGGUGGUGGCCUUCUGGAACUCUAUGUGAGAACGAUUGUGAGGUCAAGUUCUCUUAACAGGGGAAGGAUUGUGAGGUCAAGUUUUCACAACCUGGUGAGGGGAGGUGGGAAGGGAGCAGACAGGUGCCAUAUUGGCAAUUCUAGGAUGGUCCCUUCCCCUUUGGAGAGAUAGAUCUUGCCUGUUGGGCCUUCAGGCCAACACACACUAGCCUCGCUAGAAGGAAUACUGCCUGUGUACCUCCUUCUUUCCUCCUUUGGGCCUACUUUGUUCUUCUGAAUGGCUGAAACUCCAAGGCACCAUGGUCUGCACAGAUGGUAACUAUGGUGCCAGGUGUUCCACAAGGAAGGGCAGCUUGUGCUAGGCUCUGGAUUAGCAGGGCUGGGGCUACAUUCACUUCCUCCCCAAGAGGCCCUAUCUUUCUAUACCAGUAUGUAGUUUCUCUGAUGAGAUCAGCAUGGAAGCCAGUUGCUUGGUGUGGUCCAGGAAGGCUUCUGAGAGGAGGCUGCUGCUGGACCUUGAAGGUUGGGGAGAAGAUCACUGAUGGGAUUUGGGAGCAUGCAGAACAGCGUUAUUGCUUCACCCUGGCAUGCCCUUUCCUUCAUGGACUGGAUUCUCCUUUUAUCUGGAUUCCCCCAUUAUAUUUCCUAUUGCAGCCAUAAUAAGUUUCUCCAACUUAAUGCCUUAGAACAACACAAAUUUAUUAUUUUACAGUUCUGGAGGUGGGAAGUCCAAAAUCAUCGUCACUGGGUUAGGUCUCAAUGUCGGCAGGGCUGGCUGAGGCUCUCGGGAGGAUUAUCUUUCCUUGCCUUUUUCCAGCUUCUAGAAGCCACCUUCAACACCUACCAUCAGAUCUAAAUUCCAGACAGCAAGAAGAUGUGAAAACGCUCUUUCCUUCCUUUAAAGGCAAAACUCAAGACACACAUCAAAACAUCAAAACUCAAGGCACACAUCCAAACUCAUGGCACACAUUAAGUCUGCUCACAUCUUGAUAGUCACAUGGCUACACUCAGCUGCAAGAAACCCUGGGAAGUAUAGUCUUUGGCUUGGCCACUUGUCUAGCUCAAAAAUUACUACAGAGGAAUAAGGGGAGACAGAUAGUGGUCUCCUCUUCUUCAAGAGAGGUAAGAGGGCACAAUGCUGCCUUUUGUCUGAUGUGAUGGUUAAGAAGGAACAGACCAAUGUGAGGUGUGAGUUAUGUGCUGUGACUUGGACUCAUUCAACAGCAAGACCCAAGGUUUACUCUGAUGGGACAGAUGGGCAGAAUCAGUGACCACAUCCCCUGUCAUGAACCUGCUGCAGCCAGUGUGAUACCUGUCCAGCACAGAGAUUGGCCCAGGGGAAAGAGCGUGGGCUUUAGAGCCAGAUUAAAUUGGGCUUGUAUUUGGGUUCUCCACUUGAUAGAUGUGUGAACCUCUUUGGGUCUCAGUUUCUGAAUAAAUAAAGUGGAAAUGACAAAACUGACCUUGGGCUUUUGGGCAUAUUCAAUGAAACAAUGUAAACAAUCUAGCCUGGAACCUGGCACACAGUAGGUGCUCAAACAAUGUAGCUAGCUGUAGUGUCCACCCACACAUCUACACAAUUGGCAGCACUAUCUCAAAUCUUAUAGACAAACACAUGCGAUUCCUCCUCAUAUUGCAAGGUCCCUUCAGAGCAGAAGGCCUUUGAGAAAUGGUAGAAUGAUUUGUUGCUAUCUGUUACCCUGCUAUAAUUUUCGUGUUUGGAAAUUCAUUAAGAAUUCAUUUCGAUGAAUCCCAAAUGCAUGCACCAUGAAAAACAAUUAGCAUUAAUAGUGUAAAAGAAGGAGAUCAAUAAAUAGAUUCAUUUUUAAACUGUAAUAAUUUAUUUGCUUCCUAACUUUUGGGAAAUACUGCAUCUUCUGGUGACACGUCAACCAUUAAAUAGCCGAACAGCGAUGAUUUGUGGAAGGACGUUGAUAACCAGUAGGCAGACCCUGCUCUCGAGUGCACAACCCCAGCAACCAGUCAGCAACAGUGGACAGAAAGGGAAGCAGCCCUUUUCAGGAGACAAUGCAACUCAACAAAGUGCUUAUCAGGCCUUCCUCAUCCUUAAGCACUGUCCGAAUGCAACACAGCAGAUGGGAAAAGUAACGAGACCACUGAACCAAAGAUGGGGAGAAGAAAGGUGGCAUUCCUCAGACAGUGAACAGGGAGAGGAGAAAGAGGUUUCAAGAUGAGCUGCAAGGCUCUGAGAUUCACUUCACAUGGCUCCCUGCCUAUGCUGAUGCAGGAAGGCCCGGGAAAGAAUGUCUGGAUGAAGAAGCAGCAGGUGAUUCCCGACUGAGGAGGGAGGAAAAAGCCAAAUGAAAUGAGGGAGCUGUAGUCAAGGAGGGGAGGAAGCCGAGGACGGCAAGGCCUCUCAAUCAUCGCUUACCAGGGACAGAGGGAUGGCUGCCAUUAUCCCUUCUCACCACGACAAAUGAAAGACGAUGAUACCUAAGAAACUGCCGCAGCCACACAGAGCGGCAGGAGGCGAGGGUUUGCCUGGUGAAAGCCAAACGGCAGCCCUGCUCUUUUGCAGCCUCCUAUGGGACAUCAUGGCGAGCAGUGACGGAUGGAGAAAAUGCAGCAUCCCUGCCGGGCAGGACAGCAGCCUCAGGCCAGGGCUCUGGAGGAUGGACAGGCAGACCCCACGGCCCAGGAUCCAGGAAGGCCCUCUGCCAGGCUGUGGCUCCAGGAAGGCCCUCUGCCAGGCUGUGGCUGAGAGUGGCCUGGCCUGGGGCAUGGCUGCAGAUGCCGCCCCACCCGCCAGCCGCAGGGCUGGGGGCCGGCACAGAUUACAUUUUAAGGUGAUAGUCAUCUUUGACCUUUGGGACCUCCAGGGCCACUGGUCAUCCAUCUUAGAGCCGCUGACCAGCAACCUCUGGGCUAUUUUUAUGGCCGGCAAACAUUGCCCAUUGAUUGAAUUGAUUGAAAUCUGCAUCUGGUUCUUGGGGAAAGGACACUGGCCUCACAGCCGCAAUAUGCAGCUUCGUUUUC